RNAcentral lists this ribosomal RNA (424 nucleotides) under uncultured bacterium. RNAcentral's name for it is "bacterial SSU rRNA". It matches the Rfam family "Bacterial small subunit ribosomal RNA", at positions 355 to 775 of the family's 1533-position model. The record is from RNAcentral.
UGAGGAAUAUUGGUCAAUGGGCGCAAGCCUGAACCAGCCAUCCCGCGUGCAGGAAGACGGCCCUAUGGGUUGUAAACUGCUUUUCCAGGGAGAGAAACCUGCGCACGUGUUUCGCAAUUGACGGUACCCUGGGAAUAAGCAUCGGCUAACUCCGUGCCAUCAGCCGCGGUAAUACGGAGGAUGCAAGCGUUCUCCGGAUUCAUUGGGUUUAAAGGGUGCGUAGGCGGACUAUUAAGUCAGUGGUGAAAGCCUGCAGCUUAACUGCAGAACUGCCAUUGAUACUGAUAGUCUUGAGUUUGGUUAAGGUAGGCGGAAGGUGUAAUGUAGCGGUGAAAUGCUUAGAUAUUACACAGAACACCAAUUGCGGAGGCAGCUUACUGAGCCGACACUGACGCUGAGGCACGAAAGCGUGGGGAUCGAACAG